GACGAACGCUGGCGGCGUGCCUAAUACAUGCAAGUAGAACGCUGAAGGAGGAGCUUGCUUCUCUGGAUGAGUUGCGAACGGGUGAGUAACGCGUAGGUAACCUGCCUGGUAGCGGGGGAUAACUAUUGGAAACGAUAGCUAAUACCGCAUAAUAGUAGAUGUUGCAUGACAUUUGCUUAAAAGGUGCAAUUGCAUCACUACCAGAUGGACCUGCGUUGUAUUAGCUAGUUGGUGAGGUAACGGCUCACCAAGGCGACGAUACAUAGCCGACCUGAGAGGGUGAUCGGCCACACUGGGACUGAGACACGGCCCAGACUCCUACGGGAGGCAGCAGUAGGGAGUCUUCGGCAAUGGACGGAAGUCUGACCGAGCAACGCCGCGUGAGUGAAGAAGGUUUUCGGAUCGUAAAGCUCUGUUGUAAGAGAAGAACGAGUGUGAGAGUGGAAAGUUCACACUGUGACGGUAUCUUACCAGAAAGGGACGGCUAACUACGUGCCAGCAGCCGCGGUAAUACGUAGGUCCCGAGCGUUGUCCGGAUUUAUUGGGCGUAAAGCGAGCGCAGGCGGUUAGAUAAGUCUGAAGUUAAAGGCUGUGGCUUAACCAUAGUACGCUUUGGAAACUGUUUAACUUGAGUGCAAGAGGGGAGAGUGGAAUUCCAUGU
Molecule: ribosomal RNA, 661 nt
Filed under: uncultured bacterium
Lineage: Bacteria
Description: bacterial SSU rRNA
Rfam family: Bacterial small subunit ribosomal RNA
Source: RNAcentral